Non-coding RNA from Podarcis lilfordi (Lilford's wall lizard), 379 nucleotides. NCBI's taxonomy places the organism in Eukaryota, Metazoa, Chordata, Lepidosauria, Squamata, Lacertidae. The record is from the annotation of a GenBank genome assembly.
CAUAAGCCACCACCUUCACUGCCUAACACCCGUCAUGUGGGGGUAAGGAUUGCUGCUCUUUAGUUAUGAACUUAGGCUGAACAUUUAUUUAUUUUCUUAUAUUUUUAUCCUGCUUUUCUUCCCUCCUAAAACCCAAGGUGGCAUACGCAUGUUCCCAGGUCUCCCAUCCAGCCAAAGACCAAACCCAGAUCUGCAAAGAUUCAGCAGAUUCACAUCCCUGCAGUGAGACAUAGUCUGUCAGGCUUCAGCAAACUGGCUUCCUCCCCCUGUUGCAGCAGAUAAGUAGAACAAAGGAAAAGGAGUCUUCUUACCAUUUAGGAACUUUAAUAAUCACAGCGAGAGAACAAGGAACACAUCUCCUAGAAUGGCGGUGCUCCCA